UACGGGGGGGGCAAGCGUUGUUCGGAAUUACUGGGCGUAAAGGGCGCGUAGGUGGCCAACUAAGUCAGACGUGAAAUCCCUCGGCUUAACCGGGGAACUGCGUCUGAUACUGGAUGGCUUGAGUUUGGGAGAGGGACGCGGAAUUCCAGGUGUGGCGGUGAAAUGCGUAGAUAUCUGGAGGAACACCGGUGGCGAAGGCGGCGUCCUGGACCAAUACUGACACUGAGGAGCGAAAGCCAGGGGAGCAAACGGG
RNAcentral lists this ribosomal RNA (253 nucleotides) under uncultured bacterium. Its description in RNAcentral is "partial 16S ribosomal RNA". It matches the Rfam family "Bacterial small subunit ribosomal RNA", at positions 524 to 776 of the family's 1533-position model. The record is from RNAcentral.